This 198-nucleotide unclassified non-coding RNA is filed under the name uncultured Atheliaceae. RNAcentral's name for it is "sequence contains ITS1". Lineage: Eukaryota; Fungi; Basidiomycota; Agaricomycetes; Atheliales; Atheliaceae. The record is from RNAcentral.
UCGAAUUACCGGUGAGGGUUGUAGCUGGCCUUUCGGGGCACGUGCACACCCGAGCCCUUAAUCCACACACACCUGUGAACUUAAUGUAAGGCGCUCCCUGUAACGGGGGGGGUCCUUACGUCUCAUUCAUCAACCCAAUUGUAUGUCACAUAGAAUGUAAAUCAUAUCCUCGCCUUAAAAAGCGUUGAUAAACUUAUA